GAUGAACGCUGGCGGCGUGCCUAAUACAUGCAAGUCGAGCGAACAGAUGAGGAGCUUGCUCCUCUGACGUUAGCGGCGGACGGGUGAGUAACACGUGGAUAACCUACCUAUAAGACUGGGAUAACUACGGGAAACCGGAGCUAAUACCGGAUAAUAUAUUGAACCGCAUGGUUCAAUAGUGAAAGACGGUUUUGCUGUCACUUAUAGAUGGAUCCGCGCCGCAUUAGCUAGUUGGGAAGGUAACGGCUUACCAAGGCAACGAUGCGUAGCCGACCUGAGAGGGUGAUCGGCCACACUGGAACUGAGACACGGUCCAGACUCCUACGGGAGGCAGCAGUAGGGAAUCUUCCGCAAUGGGCGAAAGCCUGACGGAGCAACGCCGCGUGAGUGAUGAAGGUCUUCGGAUCGUAAAACUCUGUUAUUAGGGAAGAACAAAUGUGUAAGUAACUAUGCACGUCUUGACGGUACCUAAUCAGAAAGCCACGGCUAACUACGUG
RNAcentral lists this ribosomal RNA (497 nucleotides) under uncultured bacterium. RNAcentral describes it as "partial 16S ribosomal RNA". It matches the Rfam family "Bacterial small subunit ribosomal RNA", at positions 28 to 507 of the family's 1533-position model. The record is from RNAcentral.